This 94-nucleotide small nuclear RNA is filed under the name Rhinopithecus roxellana (golden snub-nosed monkey). Lineage: Eukaryota; Metazoa; Chordata; Mammalia; Primates; Cercopithecidae. The record is from RNAcentral.
CAGCAUAUAUACUAAAAUUGGAAUGAUACAGAGAAGAUUAGCAUGAUCCCUGUGCAAGGAUGAAAUACAAAUUCAUGAAGCAUUCCAUAUUUUU